This 200-nucleotide unclassified non-coding RNA is filed under the name soil metagenome. RNAcentral's name for it is "partial contains internal transcribed spacer 2 and large subunit ribosomal RNA". The record is from RNAcentral.
UUGGAUGUUGAGUGCUGCUGGACUUGUCGUUCAGCUCACUUUAAAUUUAUGAGCAGGCUCCUAUCUUUUCGGACUGACUCAACGUGAUAAGAAAUUUCGUUGAGGAUGCUUCAUAGCAGCCGAAUGUUAGGGAAAUGCCGCUACUAGUUGCCCUUUAUAUUUUAGACCUCAAAUCAGGUGGGACUACCCGCUGAACUUAA